Molecule: long non-coding RNA, 1104 nt
Organism: Anopheles gambiae (African malaria mosquito)
Lineage: Eukaryota; Metazoa; Arthropoda; Insecta; Diptera; Culicidae
Exons: 2
Source: RefSeq, a predicted model, not a curated record
GCCCUCGAUCACGACCGGCUGGUAGAUGCGCUCGAACCGCUCGAUGAACUCCCGUGCGCUCACCUUGUCCACGUGGAUGCGCUCUACGUUGUCCUCGAACUUGCUGAACGUCUCGAACGUUUGAUGGUAGCCCAGCUGCACCCAUGCUGAUCGGUCUGACAAUUCUAUUUUUUUUUUAUGGGACAAGAGAGAAAGAUGGAAAACGCGAAAAUUUAAAACAGUGUGAUUAUUUUAAAUAUUUAUGACAAUAUCAAGGCAUAGCCGCUUCUUUUCUUCUUCAAGAAAGUGCGAUUAGUCUGUUUUGUUCCCAGGACGUUUCUUUAAAAAAAACCAUUUAAAAUGGCAGAAUAUAAAUAGUAUUUCUUACAUUUUAUUACACUUGGUGCCUAGUGCGAUUUAAACGGUCUACUCAACUCGAAUUAAACGCAAAACACUUUCCAGGAGCAACUGAACCAUAGGUCUCUACUCGAAUCGAGUUUGCAAAUGUAAUAAGCUUAGCAAACAAUGUCCAAUCCCAGUACAAAAAGUUUAGGGUGGAAUAACGACCUACUAGGUAGGUGUCCGGUGAUAUUUUCUAUUAUCAAGCACCAAAGCACAGUGGAGAAUCUACUGUUAUGAUCAGAGUCAGAGUAUCGCGUUGGACUCAAGCAUUCGCAGGUCGCGUUCGGCCUGUCAUGACGCACUUUCAUUGAGUACCAAGCGAUGCGCAUCAAGCUACCACGGAUAUGUUCAUUGUUUUCGUUGGUGAACAUCUCGUGAUGCUCAUGACAUUUUGCAGCACUGCCUAAAUCAAAAGGGCACUUUUCCUUCUAUCCUGUAAGAUUUCAUGUAAUCAAACAAUAUCCGAGUAGCAUUGGUGUAGUUAGGCUAUUUUACAAGGAUUUUAACAAACGAUCGGUUUCGACAGCGUCAGUCUUGCAUCUGCUUCGUCGAUUCUUCGAGAUAGCAACAGUUGAUGUACAACACACACACACACACAUUACGGCCUGUGCGCUUUCCGAAGUAGAGAGCAAAACUGCAAUGAAAAAUAAUUCAUUUAAAAAAUAUGCCACAUUUUAAUGCUCCUGUGCUUGCUCAAAAAAAAAGAAAAAACAGAAAAGCAAA